GCGAGUCGAGCGGAGCGAAAAGUAGCUUGCUACUUUGCCGGCGAGCGGCGCACGGUUGAUUAAUGUCUGGGAAACUGCCUGAUGGAGGGGGAUAACUACUGGAAACGGUAGCUAAUACCGCAUAACGUCGCAAGACCAAAGAGGGGGACCUUCGGGCCUCUUGCCAUCAGAUGUGCCCAGCAUGGGAUUAGCUAGUAGGUGGGGUAACGGCUCACCUAGGCGACGAUCCCUAGCUGGUCUGAGAGGAUCGACCAGCCACACUGGAACUGAGACACGCUCCAGACUCCUACGGGAGGGAGCAGUGGGGAAUAUUGCACAAUGGGCGCAAGCCUGAUGCCGCCUUGCCGCGUGUAUGAAGAAGGCCUUCGGGUUGUAAAGUACUUUCAGCGGGGAGGAAGGUGUUGCAGGUUAAUAACCACAGCGAUUGACGUUACCCGCAGAAGGAAGCAGCGUCUAACUCCGUGCCAGCAGCCGCGGUAUUACGGAGGGUGCUCGCGUUAAUCGAAAUUACUGGGCGUAAAGCGCACGCAGGCGGUCUGUCAAGUCGGAUGUGAAAUCCCCGGGCUCACCGUGGGAACUGCUUUCGAAUCUGGCAGGCUAGAGUCUUG
RNAcentral lists this ribosomal RNA (608 nucleotides) under Acinetobacter radioresistens. Its description in RNAcentral is "bacterial SSU rRNA". It matches the Rfam family "Bacterial small subunit ribosomal RNA", at positions 57 to 651 of the family's 1533-position model. Lineage: Bacteria; Pseudomonadati; Pseudomonadota; Gammaproteobacteria; Moraxellales; Moraxellaceae. The record is from RNAcentral.